AUUGACCUCGGAUCAGGUAGGGAUACCCGCUGAACUUAAGCAUAUCAAUAAGCGGAGGAAAAGAAACCAACAGGGAUUGCCUCAGUAACGGCGAGUGAAGCGGCAACAGCUCAAAUUUGAAAUCUGGCCCCGUCGGGGUCCGAGUUGUAAUUUGUAGAGAGUGUUUCGGGUGAGACCACGGUCUAAGUCUAUUGGAACAUGGCGUCAUAGAGGGUGAGAAUCCCGUAUGUGACCGUGGCUCGAGCCCAUGUGAAGCCUCUUCGACGAGUCGAGUUGUUUGGGAAUGCAGCUCAAAAUGGGUGGUAAAUUUCAUCUAAAGCUAAAUACUGGCUGGAGACCGAUAGCGCACAAGUAGAGUGAUCGAAAGAUGAAAAGCACUUUGGAAAGAGAGUCAAAAAGUACGUGAAAUUGUUGAAAGGGAAGCGCUUGCAACCAGACCUGUCCGUAGGUGAUCAGCCGCUGUUCUCAGCGGUGCACUCGCUCUGCGAUCAGGCCAGCAUCGGUUUCGGCGGUCGGAUAAAGGCCUUGGGAAUGUAGCUUCUUUCGGGGAGUCUUAUAGCCCUCGGUGCAAUGCGGCCAGCCGGGACCGAGGACCGGCUUCGGCUAGGAUGCUGGCGUAAUGGUUGUAAGCGACCCGUCU
This 640-nucleotide ribosomal RNA is filed under the name Usnea fragilescens. Its description in RNAcentral is "eukaryotic LSU rRNA". It matches the Rfam family "Eukaryotic large subunit ribosomal RNA", at positions 1 to 654 of the family's 3401-position model. The record is from RNAcentral. Lineage: Eukaryota; Fungi; Ascomycota; Lecanoromycetes; Lecanorales; Parmeliaceae.